UUUUUCUACCUUUUGUAUAAUGGUUAAUUUAAAAUAAAAGUUUAUUAAAAACCUUCUCGAAAUAAAAAGAUCUAAUAAAUAAUUUUUUAAUUUUAUGUUGCAUAAUAAAGUUUUAAAAUUUUUACUAGAGAUUAAAUGUCUUCAAUUUUUAUUAUAUCUAGUUUAUUUAGAAAUAUAUUUAGUAUAGGUUAAACACACAUAUAAAAAGUUAUAAGAUUUUUUAUAAAAAAUCUUAUAUUGAAUCUCUACAAGUUAUUAUUAAUUAUUUAUGUAAUUUUAACAAAUUUUAAUAUUAAUUUCAUAUUUUUUAAGAUUCUCAUAAAAGUAAAUCCUGUAAAAUAGAACAUGUAGGAAAUAUAAUGAUUAAAUUAGUAUAUAUUAAUUCAUUAAAUAUAAAUUAUGAACUCGACUUUUUUAAUCAACUGUUUAACAAAAACAUAGUCUAAAGAUACUCCAAAAAAAUUUUAGAUAAAUUCUGCUCAAUGAAAAAUUUUAAAUAGCCGCAGUACUUUGACUGUGCUAAGGUAGCAUAAUCAAUUGUCUUUUAAUUAAAGUCUGGAAUGAAUGAAAUCAUGAUUAAAUUCUAUAUUUUUUAUAGUAAAUAAAAAUUAUUUUAUUAGGUGAAAAUACCUAAUUUUAUUUUAUUAGACGAGAAGACCCCAGGAAUUUAAGUUUAGUUUUUAUUGGGGCGAUAUAUAAACAUUUUAAACUUUAUUAAAUUAAUAUUAUAAAACGAGUCUUUAUUAAUUAUAGAGAAAUUACCCUGGGGAUAACAGCAUAAUUUUUUAUAAAGAUUGUGACCUCGAUGUUGGAUUAGAAAAAUUUUUACUUAGAGAGUAAAUUAUAUUUGUUCUGUUCGAACAAUUUUUUUUUAUUUAAUUUUCUACAUGAUCUGAGUUCAGACCGGCGUAAGCCAGGUCAGUUUCUAUCUAUUAUUUUUUAGUUAUUAGUACGAAAGGAUUGUAAUUAGUUUUUAUUUUA
This 981-nucleotide ribosomal RNA is filed under the name Succineidae gen. n. sp. z RM-2021. RNAcentral's name for it is "16S ribosomal RNA". The record is from RNAcentral. Lineage: Eukaryota; Metazoa; Mollusca; Gastropoda; Stylommatophora; Succineidae.